RNAcentral lists this ribosomal RNA (454 nucleotides) under uncultured bacterium. RNAcentral describes it as "partial 16S ribosomal RNA". It matches the Rfam family "Bacterial small subunit ribosomal RNA", at positions 28 to 507 of the family's 1533-position model. The record is from RNAcentral.
GAUGAACGCUGACAGAAUGCUUAACACAUGCAAGUCCACUUGAACUUCGGUUUGGGUGGCGGACGGGUGAGUAACGCGUAAAGAACUUGCCUCACAGAUAGGGACAACAUUUGGAAACGAAUGCUAAUACCUGAUAUUAUGAUUUUAGGGCAUCCUAGGAUUAUGAAAGCUAUAUGCGCUGUGAGAGAGCUUUGCGUCCCAUUAGCUAGUUGGAGAGGUAACGGCUCACCAAGGCGAUGAUGGGUAGCCGGCCUGAGAGGGUGAUCGGCCACAAGGGGACUGAGACACGGCCCUUACUCCUACGGGAGGCAGCAGUGGGGAAUAUUGGACAAUGGACCAAGAGUCUGAUCCAGCAAUUCUGUGUGCACGAUGAAGUUUUUCGGAAUGUAAAGUGCUUUCAGUUGGGAAGAAAAAAAUGACGGUACCAACAGAAGAAGUGACGGCUAAAUACGUG